CUCAGGACCUUGUGCUUGCCAGGCCUGGCCCAUUUCAGCAGUUCUGGAGGUCCUGCCUGAGUGUCUAUAUGAGCUACGGUCACAAAUCCGGUAAACGCUGCUGCUGAGUGUCACCGAAAGCAAAGACAGUGUCAUGAAAACAUUAUGGAGAGAAAAUGUUCGCAAAAGGAGAUCUAAGGAGCUCCCCACCAAUUUAGAAGAGACAGAAGAAAGGACACUCUGUGCCAGCUGUGAAAGAAG
Long non-coding RNA from Heterocephalus glaber (naked mole-rat), 240 nucleotides. RefSeq lists it as uncharacterized. The record is from RefSeq and is a predicted model, not a curated record. Lineage: Eukaryota; Metazoa; Chordata; Mammalia; Rodentia; Bathyergidae.